RNAcentral lists this ribosomal RNA (446 nucleotides) under uncultured bacterium. RNAcentral's name for it is "bacterial SSU rRNA". It matches the Rfam family "Bacterial small subunit ribosomal RNA", at positions 330 to 793 of the family's 1533-position model. The record is from RNAcentral.
GCCAGACUCCUACGGGAGGCAGCAGUGGGGGAUAUUGCACAAUGGGGGAAACCCUGAUGCAGCGACGCCGCGUGCAGGAAGAAGGUUUUCGGAUUGUAAACUGCUUUAGACAGGGAAGAUAAUGACAGUACCUGUAGAAUAAGCUCCGGCUAACUACGUGCCAGCAGCCGCGGUAAUACGUAGGGAGCAAGCGUUAUCCGGAUUUAUUGGGUGUAAAGGGUGCGUAGACGGGAAAACAAGUUAGUUGUGAAAUCCCUCGGCUUAACGGAGGAACUGCAACUAAAACUAUUUUUCUUGAGUGCUGGAGAGGAAAGUGGAAUUCCUAGUGUAGCGGUGAAAUGCGUAGAUAUUAGGAGGAACACCAGUGGCGAAGGCGACUUUCUGGACAGUAACUGACGUUGAGGCACGAAAGUGUGGGGAGCAAACAGGAUUAGAUACCCUGGUAC